AAUAAGAGACACCACUGCACCACAUACACCAAGGAGAAGCCAUGUGAGCACAGAGAGAGAAGGCAGCCAUCUACAAUCCAAGGAGAGAGCCUUUACCAGAUACCAACCCUGCUAGUAGCUUGAUCUUUGACUUCCAGUCUCCAGAACUGCUGAGAAUUAUCUACAUAUUCUGCAUUGAAGCCCCUUGUCAAAUUUUAAAUGUGAAAGUCUGAAAGCAGCUAUUCUGAAAAUCUCCAAUAUAAGAAGGCUUCUCCAUGGACAGACCUCCACCAUGCAUUAAAUGCUAAAACACUUGGCUUACGGGCUGAGAGGAGGGAAGCAAAAAGGAGUAAAGCCUGUGGGAAGAAGGCUGAGGUCGGAUUUCCUGAAGCUAUUAAUUAACGAUACUAGAAGACCUUGAAUAUUCAUAGAAUUGCAUAUUGUUAAAACAAGCACACCU
RNAcentral lists this long non-coding RNA (439 nucleotides) under Equus caballus (horse). Its description in RNAcentral is "lncRNA (ENSECAG00000058700.1)". Lineage: Eukaryota; Metazoa; Chordata; Mammalia; Perissodactyla; Equidae. The record is from RNAcentral.